This 459-nucleotide ribosomal RNA is filed under the name uncultured bacterium. Its description in RNAcentral is "partial 16S ribosomal RNA". It matches the Rfam family "Bacterial small subunit ribosomal RNA", at positions 338 to 795 of the family's 1533-position model. The record is from RNAcentral.
CCUACGGGAGGCAGCAGUGAGGAAUAUUGGUCAAUGGUCGGGAGACUGAACCAGCCAAGCCGCGUGAGGGAUGAAGGUACAGAGUAUCGUAAACCUCUUUUGUCAGGGAACAAAGGCGGGGACGUGUCCCCGGAUGAGUGUAUCUGAAGAAAAAGCAUCGGCUAACUACGUGCAAGCAGCGGCGGUAAUACGGAGGAUGCGAGCGUUAACGGGAUUUAGGGGGUUUAAUGGGUCCGCGGGCGGUCUGUUAAGUCCGCGGUCAAGGCACGGGGCUCAACCCCGGACCGCCGUUGAAACUGGCAGUCUCGAGUUGGAGAGAAGUAUGCGGAAUGCGCGGUGUAGCGGUGAAAUGCAUAGAUAUCGCGCAGAACUCCGAUUGCGAAGGCAGCAUGCCGGCUCCACACUGACGCUGAGGCACGAAAGCGUGGGUAUCGAACAGGAUUAGAUACCCUUGUAGUC